UAGGGAAUCUUCCACAAUGGACGCAAGUCUGAUGGAGCAACGCCGCGUGAGUGAAGAAGGUUUUCGGACCGUAAAGCUCUGUUGUUGGUGAAGAAGGAUAGAGGUAGUAACUGGCCUUUAUUUGACGGUAAUCAACCAGAAAGUCACGGCUAACUACGUGCCAGCAGCCGCGGUAAUACGUAGGUGGCAAGCGUUGUCCGGAUUUAUUGGGCGUAAAGCGAGCGCAGGCGGAAGAAUAAGUCUGAUGUGAAAGCCCUCGGCUUAACCGAGGAAUUGCAUCGGAAACUGUUUUCUUGAGUGCAGAAGAGGAGAGUAGAACUCCAUGUGUAGCGGUGGAAUGCGUAGAUAUAUGGAAGAAUACCAGUGGCGAAGGCGGCUCUCUGGUCUGCAACUGACGCUGAGGCUCGAAAGCAUGGGUAGCGAACAGGAUUAGAUACCCUGGUAGUCCAUGCCGUAAACGAUGAGUGCUAAGUGUUGGGAGGCUUCCGCCUCUCAGUGCUGCAGCUAACGCAUUAAGCACUCCGCCUGGGGGAGUACGACCGCAAGGUUGAAA
RNAcentral lists this ribosomal RNA (553 nucleotides) under uncultured bacterium. RNAcentral's name for it is "partial 16S ribosomal RNA". It matches the Rfam family "Bacterial small subunit ribosomal RNA", at positions 355 to 899 of the family's 1533-position model. The record is from RNAcentral.